Molecule: non-coding RNA, 24 nt
Filed under: Cricetulus griseus (Chinese hamster)
Lineage: Eukaryota; Metazoa; Chordata; Mammalia; Rodentia; Cricetidae
Source: RNAcentral
GGAAGGACGAGAAGACUGGGUUAC